CAGUAGCCGCGGUAAUACGUAGGGUGCAAGCGUUAAUCGGAAUUACUGGGCGUAAAGCGUGCGCAGGCGGUUAUAUAAGACAGAUGUGAAAUCCCCGGGCUCAACCUGGGAACUGCAUUUGUGACUGUAUAGCUAGAGUACGGCAGAGGGGGAUGGAAUUCCGCGUGUAGCAGUGAAAUGCGUAGAUAUGCGGAGGAACACCGAUGGCGAAGGCAAUCCCCUGGGCCUGUACUGACGCUCAUGCACGAAAGCGUGGGGAGCAAACAGGAUUAGAUACCCCCGUAGUUCCUGUCUCUUAUAA
Molecule: ribosomal RNA, 301 nt
Filed under: uncultured bacterium
Lineage: Bacteria
Description: partial 16S ribosomal RNA
Rfam family: Bacterial small subunit ribosomal RNA
Source: RNAcentral